RNAcentral lists this long non-coding RNA (663 nucleotides) under Eutrema salsugineum. Its description in RNAcentral is "long non-coding RNA (ESAL_LNC001173)". Lineage: Eukaryota; Viridiplantae; Streptophyta; Magnoliopsida; Brassicales; Brassicaceae. The record is from RNAcentral.
CUUAUCUUGUUUAUACGUGAGUUCCUUUGUUUGAUGUCGAUGAGCUACGAGGUUAGCUCAACUAUGCAUGGUUUCCUUUGGCGAGGUCAGCUGGGUUCUUAACAUUGCCGAGCUGCUUUGGGGUGUAGAAAAUCUUCUUGCCCCCCUACCUGGCGCGCCAUUUGUUGAACGUGGAUUCGCACGGGUCAAACAAGUCAACUUAUGUUGGAGAGUUUGGAGAUUUUCUGUUAAAUUAAGCUUAGGUCGACAACGAAAUAAGAACAAAGUUUAAGACAUGGUGAGGUGAGUUUGACGAGGUGGCGAGGUGAGUUUGACGAGGUGGCGAGGUGAGGUGAGUUUGACGAGGUGGCGAGGUGAGGUGAGUUUGGCGAGGUGACGAGGUGAGGUGAGCUUGACGAGGUGAUGAGGUGAGAUCAGCUUGACGAGGUGAUGAGGUGAGAUCAGUUUGACGAGGUGAUGAGGUGAGAUCAGUUUGACGAGGUGAUGAGGUGAGAUCAGUUUGACGAGGUGGCAGAGAAUUUGGCGAGGUGAUGGUGAAUUUGGCGAAGUGGAGUGAUUUUGGCGAGGUGAUGAUGAUUUUGGCGAGUGAUGGUGAAUUUGGCAAGGUAGGAGUGAUUUUGGCGAGUGAUGUGAUUUUGGCGAGGUGAGAGUGAUUUUGGCGAG